UACGUAGGGUCCGAGCGUUGUCCGGAAUCAUUGGGCGUAAAGCGCGUGUAGGCGGCCCGAUAAGUCCGCUGUGAAAGUCCAGGGCUCAACCCUGGGAUGCCGGUGGAUACUGUCGGGCUCGAGUCCGGAAGAGGCGAGUGGAAUUCCUGGUGUAGCGGUGAAAUGCGCAGAUAUCAGGAGGAACACCAAUGGCGAAGGCAGCUCGCUGGGACGUGACUGACGCUGAGACGCGAAAGCGUGGGGAGCAAACAGG
Molecule: ribosomal RNA, 253 nt
Filed under: uncultured bacterium
Lineage: Bacteria
Description: partial 16S ribosomal RNA
Rfam family: Bacterial small subunit ribosomal RNA
Source: RNAcentral